This is a long non-coding RNA of Alosa sapidissima (American shad), 1184 nucleotides long. RefSeq lists it as uncharacterized. The record is from RefSeq and is a predicted model, not a curated record. The transcript is spliced from 3 exons. Lineage: Eukaryota; Metazoa; Chordata; Actinopteri; Clupeiformes; Clupeidae.
AAAUGUUGCUCACAUUGGAGCAAACAGCCUGUGUACACAGACAGUAAGAGAGGCUGCAUAUUGUUUAUUCUUCCUCUUGACUGGCUGACUGAGUCAUUAUGAAAGUGGAACACGUGUCGUUUUCCCGCGUUUUUUUUUUUUGUGUGUGUGAUACAACAGCAUCUACCAUCUUUGACCACGUUCCAUGACAGCUGUACCCGCGCGAAUAUGGACUGUGACUACAUGUAGCCUACCUGGCGGAGAUCCGGGUCCCAAUUACCUGGUGGAGCAAAACAUGCGAGGAUAGCCACAGUUUUCCAGGCAUUCUGGACCACCCUGAGACGGUGCAUCAGUGGGGUCCCUCAUCAUGAUGCAGAUGAGACAUUGCCACUCUCUGUUGAAGAGACUGACCUAUUUCAUGGAAGCUCAGUACGGCCCUUCGUGGAUGCAGAAGCUACAACUACAAGUGCCUUCUUGCAGCCAGAUAACUUUCCAGUUCCCACUCUUUUCCAUUGAGAACAUUUCAUCUCUCCGUUGAAGAGACUGAGCGUUAUCAUGAAAGCUCAGUAGAACACUUCAGAGUGGCUACAACUGGAAGUGCCUUCUCCCAUCUUUAUAACUGAGAUCCCACUCAUUUCCAUGUGUCAAAUUAAGUGGAAACUGUAUCACAUUACUGGCUGUAUGAGAGCCACUAUGAUGAUAUUUUCCAGUAGCGGUGCUGGGAAUGAGCCCUAUGAGCUGUGCGGCUCAGCUGAGCCUGUGGACCUUUAUUCCAACUGCGUUGCUAAAGGGCAUUCCCUGCCAAGCCUUACUGGACACAGGAUCCAUCAUCUCUAGUUCACCCAGGAACACUGCCAUGGACUGAAGAACCAAGACUGUCAGGCUAGGAAGCCACCAAGCUGAGCACAGCAUUAGUUCAGGAAGGCCAAAGUCAUGCCCAACUUCUGCCAGUAACUUGGCUGACUGCUCAGCUGAUCAUCACUAGCUGUUACAUUGGUGGAGAUCAUUCAGGGUGCCUUAUUUAAGCUGCCUUAGUUUGGCUACUCUUGCUGCUUUCUCUGUAAAGCUUUUUGUAACCUUCCCAUACACGGGGUUCCCAUGGGUCAUGGAAUUUCUGGAAUAUCAUGGAAGUCUAUUCCAGACAUGGAUUGUAUUAUGUUUGGGGCAAAGUCAUGGUUGUUUUGUUGUAGCAGUUUAAAAACAGA